CCUACGGGAGGCUGCAGUGGGGAAUAUUGCACAAUGGGCGAAAGCCUGAUGCAGCAACGCCGCGUGAGCGAUGAAGGUCUUCGGGUCGUAAAGCUCUGUCCCAAGGGAAGAAUACUGACGGUACCUUAGGAGGAAGCCCCGGCUAACUACGUGCCAGAGGCGGCGGAAAGAGGUAGGGGCCUAGCGUUAUCCGGAAUUACUGGGCGUAAGGGGUGCGUAGGCGGCCCUUCAAGUCAGGGGUGAAAGGCUACGGCUCAACCGUAGUAAGCCUUUGAAACUGUAGGGCUUGAGUGCAGGAGAGGAGAGUGGAAUUCCCAGUGUAGCGGUGAAAUGCGUAGAUAUUGGGAGGAACACCAGUUGCGAAGGCGGCUCUCUGGACUGUAACUGACGCUGAGGCACGAAAGUGUGGGGAGCGAACAGGAUUAGAUACCCUUGUAGUC
Molecule: ribosomal RNA, 440 nt
Filed under: uncultured bacterium
Lineage: Bacteria
Description: bacterial SSU rRNA
Rfam family: Bacterial small subunit ribosomal RNA
Source: RNAcentral